RNAcentral lists this ribosomal RNA (1346 nucleotides) under uncultured bacterium. RNAcentral's name for it is "bacterial SSU rRNA". It matches the Rfam family "Bacterial small subunit ribosomal RNA", at positions 28 to 1381 of the family's 1533-position model. The record is from RNAcentral.
GACGAACUCUGGCGGCGUGCUUAACACAUGCAAGUCGAACGGAAAGGCCCUGCUUUUGUGGGGUGCUCGAGUGGCGAACGGGUGAGUAACACGUGAGUAACCUGCCCUUGACUUUGGGAUAACUUCAGGAAACUGGGGCUAAUACCGGAUAGGAGCUCCUGCUGCAUGGUGGGGGUUGGAAAGUUUCGGCGGUUGGGGAUGGACUCGCGGCUUAUCAGCUUGUUGGUGGGGUAGUGGCUUACCAAGGCUUUGACGGGUAGCCGGCCUGAGAGGGUGACCGGCCACAUUGGGACUGAGAUACGGCCCAGACUCCUACGGGAGGCAGCAGUGGGGAAUAUUGCACAAUGGGCGGAAGCCUGAUGCAGCAACGCCGCGUGCGGGAUGACGGCCUUCGGGUUGUAAACCGCUUUCGCCUGUGACGAAGCGUGAGUGACGGUAAUGGGUAAAGAAGCACCGGCUAACUACGUGCCAGCAGCCGCGGUGAUACGUAGGGUGCGAGCGUUGUCCGGAUUUAUUGGGCGUAAAGGGCUCGUAGGUGGUUGAUCGCGUCGGAAGUGUAAUCUUGGGGCUUAACCCUGAGCGUGCUUUCGAUACGGGUUGACUUGAGGAAGGUAGGGGAGAAUGGAAUCCCUAGUGGAGCGGUGGAAUGCGCAGAUAUCAGGAGGAACACCAGUGGCGAAGGCGGUUCUCUGGGCCUUUCCUGACGCUGAGGAGCGAAAGCGUGGGGAGCGAACAGGCUUAGAUACCCUGGUAGUCCACGCUGUAAACGGUGGGUACUAGGUGUGGGGUCCAUUCCACGGGUUCCGUGCCGUAGCUAACGCUUUAAGUACCCCGCCUGGGGAGUACGGCCGCAAGGCUAAAACUCAAAGGAAUUGACGGGGCCCCGCACAAGCGGCGGAGCAUGCGGAUUAAUUCGAUGCAACGCGUAGAACCUUACCUGGGUUUGACAUGGAUCGGGAGUGCUCAGAGAUGGGUGUGCCUCUUUUGGGGUCGGUUCACAGGUGGUGCAUGCCUGUCGUCAGCUCGUGUCGUGAGAUGUUGGGUUAAGUCCCGCAACGAGCGCAACCCUUGUUCACUGUUGCCAGCACGUUAUGGUGGGGACUCAGUGGAGACCGCCGGGGUCAACUCGGAGGAAGGUGGGGAUGACGUCAAGUCCUCAUGCCCCUUAUGUCCAGGGCUUCACGCAUGCUACAAUGGCUGGUACAGAGAGUGGCGAGCCUGUGAGGGUGAGCGAAUCUCGGAAAGCCGGUCUCAGUUCGGAUUGGGGUCUGCAACUCGACCUCAUGAAGUCGGAGUCGCUAGUAAUCGCAGAUCAGCAACGCUGCGGUGAAUACGUUCCCGGGGCU